GACGAACGCUGGCGGCGUGCUUAACACAUGCCAGUCGAACGGUGAAGCAGAGCUUGCUCUGUGGAUCAGUGGCGAACGGGUGAGUAACACGUGAGUAACCUGCCCUUGACUCUGGGAUAAGCGUUGGAAACGACGUCUAAUACCGGAUACGAGCUGAGACCGCAUGGUCAUCAGUUGGAAAGAUUUUUUGGUCAAGGAUGGACUCGCGGCCUAUCAGCUUGUUGGUGAGGUAAUGGCUCACCAAGGCGACGACGGGUAGCCGGCCUGAGAGGGUGACCGGCCACACUGGGACUGAGACACGGCCCAGACUCCUACGGGAGGCAGCAGUGGGGAAUAUUGCACAAUGGGCGCAAGCCUGAUGCAGCAACGCCGCGUGAGGGAUGACGGCCUUCGGGUGGUAAACCUCUUUUAGUAGGGAAGAAGCGAAAGUGACGGUACCUGCAGAAAAAGCACCGGCUAACUACGU
This 466-nucleotide ribosomal RNA is filed under the name uncultured bacterium. RNAcentral's name for it is "partial 16S ribosomal RNA". It matches the Rfam family "Bacterial small subunit ribosomal RNA", at positions 28 to 506 of the family's 1533-position model. The record is from RNAcentral.